GCCCGGCUAGCUCAAUCGGUAGAGCGUGAGACUCUUAAUACGAGUAAGAUGCACAUCUUCUUCAGACUCUGAACAAUCUCAAGGUUGUGGGUUCGACCCCCACGUCGGGCU
Molecule: non-coding RNA, 111 nt
Organism: Bombardia bombarda
Lineage: Eukaryota; Fungi; Ascomycota; Sordariomycetes; Sordariales; Lasiosphaeriaceae
Source: the annotation of a GenBank genome assembly